CAGGUGGUCAGGUAGAGAAUACCAAGGCGCUUGAGAGAACUCGGGUGAAGGAACUAGGCAAAAUGGUGCCGUAACUUCGGGAGAAGGCACGCUGACACGUAGGUGAAGUGAUUUACUCAUGGAGCUGAAGUCAGUCGAAGAUACCAGCUGGCUGCAACUGUUUAUUAAAAACACAGCACUGUGCAAACACGAAAGUGGACGUAUACGGUGUGACGCCUGCCCGGUGCCGGAAGGUUAAUUGAUGGGGUCAGCGCAAGCGAAGCUCCUGAUCGAAGCCCCGGUAAACGGCGGCCGUAACUAUAACGGUCCUAAGGUAGCGAAAUUCCUUGUCGGGUAAGUUCCGACCUGCACGAAUGGCGUAAUGAUGGCCAGGCUGUCUCCACCCGAGACUCAGUGAAAUUGAACUCGCUGUGAAGAUGCAGUGUACCCGCGGCAAGACGGAAAGACCCCGUGAACCUUUACUAUAGCUUGACACUGAACAUUGAGCCUUGAUGUGUAGGAUAGGUGGGAGGCUUUGAAGUGUGGACGCCAGUCUGCAUGGAGCCGACCUUGAAAUACCACCCUUUAAUGUUUGAUGUUCUAACGUGGACCCGUGAUCCGGGUUGCGGACAGUGUCUGGUGGGUAGUUUGACUGGGGCGGUCUCCUCCUAAAGAGUAACGGAGGAGCACGAAGGUUGGCUAAUCCUGGUCGGACAUCAGGAGGUUAGUGCAAUGGCAUAAGCCAGCUUGACUGCGAGCGUGACGGCGCGAGCAGGUGCGAAAGCAGGUCAUAGUGAUCCGGUGGUUCUGAAUGGAAGGGCCAUCGCUCAACGGAUAAAAGGUACUCCGGGGAUAACAGGCUGAUACCGCCCAAGAGUUCAUAUCGACGGCGGUGUUUGGCACCUCGAUGUCGGCUCAUCACAUCCUGGGGCUGAAGUAGGUCCCAAGGGUAUGGCUGUUCGCCAUUUAAAGUGGUACGCGAGCUGGGUUUAGAACGUCGUGAGACAGUUCGGUCCCUAUCUGCCGUGGGCGCUGGAGAACUGAGGGGGGCUGCUCCUAGUACGAGAGGACCGGAGUGGACGCAUCACUGGUGUUCGGGUUGUCAUGCCAAUGGCACUGCCCGGUAGCUAAAUGCGGAAGAGAUAAGUGCUGAAAGCAUCUAAGCACGAAACUUGCCCCGAGAUGAGUUCUCCCUGAGACUUUAGGUCUCCUGAAGGAACGUUGAAGACGACGACGUUGAUAGGCCGGGUGUGUAAGCGCAGCGAUGCGUUGAGCUAACCGGUACUAAUGAACCGUGAGGCUUAACCUUACA
RNAcentral lists this ribosomal RNA (1291 nucleotides) under Salmonella enterica. RNAcentral describes it as "partial 23S ribosomal RNA". It matches the Rfam family "Bacterial large subunit ribosomal RNA", at positions 1660 to 2925 of the family's 2925-position model. Lineage: Bacteria; Pseudomonadati; Pseudomonadota; Gammaproteobacteria; Enterobacterales; Enterobacteriaceae. RNAcentral also lists the same sequence under 1 other name. The record is from RNAcentral.